ACAUAAGAAAUUCGCAUGUUUUUCUUAUCAAAGCUCCAGCGGUACAGGAUGGACCCGCGUCUGAUUAGCUAGUUGGUGAGGUAACGGCUCACCAAGGCGACGAUCAGUAGCCGACCUGAGAGGGUGAUCGGCCACAUUGGAACUGAGACACGGUCCAAACUCCUACGGGAGGCAGCAGUGGGGAAUAUUGCACAAUGGGCGAAAGCCUGAUGCAGCAACGCCGCGUGAGCGAAGAAGUAUUUCGGUAUGUAAAGCUCUGUCAGCAGGGAAGAUAAUGACGGUACCUGACUAAGAAGCUCCGGCUAAAUACGUGCCAGCUUUUGCGGUAAUACGUAUGGAGCAAGCGUUAUCCGGAUUUACUGGGUGUAAAGGGAGCGUAGACGGCAGGGCAAGUCUGAUGUGAAAACCCGGGGCUCAACCCCGGGACUGCAUUGGAAACUGUCCGGCUGGAGUGCAGGAGAGGUAAUCGGAAUUCCUUGUGUAGCGGUGAAAUGCGUAGAUAUAAGGAAGAACACCAGUGGCGAAGGCGGAUUACUGGACGGUAACUGACGGUGAGGCGCGAAAGCGUGGGGAGCGAACAGGAUUAGAUACCCUGGUAGUCCACGCUGUAAACGAUGGAUACUAGGUGUGC
RNAcentral lists this ribosomal RNA (631 nucleotides) under uncultured bacterium. RNAcentral's name for it is "bacterial SSU rRNA". It matches the Rfam family "Bacterial small subunit ribosomal RNA", at positions 173 to 825 of the family's 1533-position model. The record is from RNAcentral.